Callithrix jacchus (white-tufted-ear marmoset) is the source of this 96-nucleotide microRNA precursor. The record is from Ensembl. Lineage: Eukaryota; Metazoa; Chordata; Mammalia; Primates; Cebidae.
GAACAGGUCUCAAUGCCUUCAUAGCCCUGUACAAUGCUGCUUGAUCCAUAUGCAACAAGGCAGCACUGUAAAGAAGCCGAGGGCAGUAAGAAAAUC